This 415-nucleotide ribosomal RNA is filed under the name uncultured bacterium. Its description in RNAcentral is "bacterial SSU rRNA". It matches the Rfam family "Bacterial small subunit ribosomal RNA", at positions 355 to 767 of the family's 1533-position model. The record is from RNAcentral.
UAAGGAAUAUUGGUCAAUGGACGCAAGUCUGAACCAGCCAUGCCGCGUGGAGGAUUAAGGCCCUCUGGGUUGUAAACUCCUUUUAUCUGGGAAGAAAUGUACUUUUUCUUGAGUACUUGACGGUACCAGAGGAAUAAGCACCGGCUACCUCCGUGCCAGCAGCCGCGGUAAUACGGAGGGUGCAAGCGUUAUCCGGAUUCACUGGGUUUAAAGGGUGCGUAGGUGGGCAGGUAAGUCAGUGGUGAAAUCUCCGGGCUUAACUUCGGAACUGCCAUCGAUACUAUAUGUCUUGAAUAUUGUGGAGGUAGGCGGAAUAUGUCAUGUAGCGGUGAAAUGCAUAGAUAUGACAUAGAACACCGAUUACGGAGGCAGCUUGCUACGCAAAUAUUGACGCUGAGGCACGAAAGCGUGGGGA